RNAcentral lists this ribosomal RNA (253 nucleotides) under uncultured bacterium. RNAcentral describes it as "partial 16S ribosomal RNA". It matches the Rfam family "Bacterial small subunit ribosomal RNA", at positions 524 to 776 of the family's 1533-position model. The record is from RNAcentral.
UACGUAGGGGGCAAGCGUUAUCCGGAUUUACUGGGUGUAAAGGGAGCGUAGACGGCAGUGCAAGUCCGGAGUGAAAGCCCGGGGCUCAACCCUGGGACUGCUCUGGAAACUGUAAAGCUGGAGUGUCGGAGAGGCAGGCGGAAUUCCUAGUGUAGCGGUGAAAUGCGUAGAUAUACGGAGGAACACCAGUGGCGAAGGCGGAUUGCUGGACAGUAACUGACGCUGAGGCUCGAAAGCGUGGGGAGCAAACAGG